AGAAUCAACGCUGGCGGCGUGCCUAACACAUGCAAGUCGAACGAGAAAGUGGAGCAAUCCAUGAGUAAAGUGGCGCACGGGUGAGUAACACGUGACUAACCUACCCUUGAGUGGGGAAUAACUGAGGGAAACCUUCGCUAAUACCGCAUAACACCUACGGGUCAAAGGAGCAAUUCGCUUAAGGAGGGGUCGCGGCAGAUUAGCUAGUUGGCGGGGUAAUGGCCCACCAAGACUAUGAUCGGUA
This 244-nucleotide ribosomal RNA is filed under the name uncultured bacterium. Its description in RNAcentral is "partial small subunit ribosomal RNA". It matches the Rfam family "Bacterial small subunit ribosomal RNA", at positions 26 to 285 of the family's 1533-position model. The record is from RNAcentral.